GGCCCCUUCGACUACGGGUUAGGUUCCGGGGUUCUCAACUCCGGGGAGCGGGUUCGAGUCCCGCAGGGGCUA
RNAcentral lists this transfer RNA (72 nucleotides) under Actinoallomurus bryophytorum. RNAcentral's name for it is "tRNA-Glu". It matches the Rfam family "tRNA". From Rfam's summary of the family: Transfer RNA (tRNA) molecules are approximately 80 nucleotides in length. Their secondary structure includes four short double-helical elements and three loops (D, anti-codon, and T loops). The record is from RNAcentral. Lineage: Bacteria; Bacillati; Actinomycetota; Actinomycetes; Streptosporangiales; Thermomonosporaceae.